RNAcentral lists this long non-coding RNA (4723 nucleotides) under Nicotiana benthamiana. RNAcentral describes it as "long non-coding RNA (NBEN_LNC011346)". Lineage: Eukaryota; Viridiplantae; Streptophyta; Magnoliopsida; Solanales; Solanaceae. The record is from RNAcentral.
AUAAUUUGGGGAACGAGUAGUUAUUAAUAAGGGUAAAAUAAGAAAAGAGAUUAUUUUCUGAAAACUUUGAGAUUAACCGAAGAAUCAUGAAAAAUAUAGUGAGAGAAUCUAGAGAGAAGGAGGAGCAGUUGAGAGAAGUCUUUGGAAGACAGAGAGUUUAUUAAUCAGAAAAGAGAGUAAAAUGAAAUCCGUAGCCAAAAUAUCUGAUAUAUGGCUAUAUAUACACCUAGCAUUGGGUCGGGUCAGACGGCCCAAUGACGAAAGUAAAAUGGGGCUCAGACACAUGUUGGGCUCAGACACAUGUGUAGCCCAAACAAUAAAACUUUCAUCAUAGCCCACUUCCACCUAUACAAUGUAUACCAGAGAAUACAAUAAAUAUAUAACGUAUAUACAGUGUAUACAAUCAUCUAAGCUCUUUCAUCUCAACACUCUUGCUUUAAUAUAAUAGGCAAAUAAAAGUGAAAAUAUAUUUUUAGUAUAGUGAACAUGUAAAAACGGACGAGGGAGAAUAUAUGUAUUAUAAAUAGUGACGGAAGUAAAAUGGGGCUCAGACACAUGUUGGGCUCAUACACAUGUGUAGCCCAAACAAUAAAACAUUCAUCAUAGCCCACUUCCACCUAUGCAAUGUAUACCAGAGAGUACAAUAAAUAUACAAUGUAUAUACAGUGUAUACAAUCAUGUAAGCUCUUUCAUCUCAACACCCCCUCAUUGCAUCCUGCCAUGCUGGGACAGAUGCAGCUUGAGAGUAAUACAUUGGUUCAGAUUCCAAAGUGGAAGAAGAGGAAUCAGAAAAGGCAGGCAGUUGACAGACAUAAUCCUUAAGAUAGGAAGGAGGAUUAUGCUGUCUGGUGGACUUUCUAGGUGUAGGAAGAUGAUGGGAUGGAGGUAACACAGGAGUAGGGAGAUCAGGAUUGAAAGAAGGAAGGGAAGAUGGACCAGCAUCAAAAAAAUCAGGUUCAGGAGAAUCAGUAGUAGAAGGAAGAACAGAAAAAUCAGGGGAAGUAAGUAUAGGAAAGUCUGUGGCAGUGAAAUCAUCAGCAGGAGGAAUAGAAGGAAAAAAUGAAGAAGAAGGGUGAGCAGAAGUAGGUUUAUUUUGAAAAGGGAAAUAAGUUUCAUGGAAGACAACAUCCCUUGAAACAAAACACUUCUUGGUAACCAUNNNNNNNNNNNNNNNNNNNNNNNNNNNNNNNNNNNNNNNNNNNNNNNNNNNNNNNNNNNNNNNNNNNNNNNNNNNNNNNNNAACCCUUUUUGGCAAAGGGGUAACCCAGAAACACACAAGAGUGGGCUCUAGGUUUCAGCUUAUCCCUUUGAGGGAUAGGGACAUCAGCAUAAGCAAGGCAUCCAAAUGUCCUCAAAUGAGAAUAGGAUGGAGCUUUGCCAUACAAUUUCAUGGGGAGACUUAUGGUGAAGGAUUCUGGAAGGUAUUUUGUUAAGAAGAUAGGUGGUAGUUAACAGACAAUCCCCCCAAAAAGACACAGGUAGGCCAGAUUGAAAAAGCAGGGCUCUACAUGUUUCAAGAGGUGUUCUGUGUUUUAUUUCAACAACACCAUUCUGUUGAGGUGAAUGAGGGCAGGAGGUUUGAUGAAUAAUCCCCUAGCUACUAAAAAAGGAUAUUCCCUCAGUGCUGGAUCCCAAUUCUAUGGCAUUGUCACUUCUGACAGUCUGAAUGAGGGCAGGAGGUUUGAUGAAUAAUCCACUGGCUACUAAAAAAGGAUAUGCCCUCAAUGCUGGAUCCCAGUUCUAAGGCAUUGUCACUUCUAACAAUCUGAACCACAGUGUUAAACUGAGUUUUAACAAAAGAGAUGAAAGACUUAAGCAGGGAAAAAGCAUAGCUUUUAGAUCCCAUUAAGUGUGUCCAGGUUGCCCUAGAAAAAUCAUCAACUAUAGUAAGGAAGUAUUUGUAACCAGAAGAAGUAGAAGUGUGGCAAGGCCCCCAAGUAUCCACAUGUAUUAGUUGAAAUGAUCUAGUAGUACUGAUACUGCUGUCAUGAAAAGGGAGUCUAGUCUGUUUGGCCAUAGGGCAGACNNNNNNNNNNNNNNNNNNNNNNNNNNNNNNNNNNNNNNNNNNNNNNNNNNNNNNNNNNNNNNNNNNNNNNNNNNNNNNNNNNNNNNNNNNNNNNNNNNNNNNNNNNNNNNNNNNNNNNNNNNNNNNNNNNNNNNNNAGUGGAAAAGACAAACCAGAAAUAUGUCUCAUAUUUGCAAAAGGAGUAUGUGCUAGUCUUAAAUGCCAAAUGUAAUUCAUAUCAGUGGUAACAACAUUAUCACAAAUGGAAUUAUUUACAAUUGGAAGCAAGCCAACAUUUUUGCUAUUAGACAUAGUGUCAUCAUUACAAAAAUCAGACAAAGCACACACAGAAGUAAAAGGAGAACCAGGAGAGGAAGAAGGGGAAGGAGGCACCCAAGACAGUUUGUAUAAGCCAGCUUCCUCUUUACCAAGAUCCAGAGGCCUCUUCGGAGAAGGGUCCUGUAUCAUGUGAAGCAAACAGGAAGUUGGAGUGAACAAAACUAUACAGUGCAACUGUUUUAUCAACUUGUGAACAGAAAUCAAGUUGUGUUUAAAUGAAGGAACCAGAAGCACAUUGUGAAGAGUAAGGGAAGAAGGAACAGACAAAUUAGGAUUUCCAUGAUUAACAUACACACAUUCCUCACCAGUGGAGAUAUGAGCAGCUGCAGAUUUUCUUCCCUUGUUGUAGUUUAUGUUUUGAGGAAACCCAUGGAUCUUGUAGCACUUAUCAAUUAAGUGCCCAGAUUUCUUGCAGUAUCUGCAAAAUAAGGGUCCUCUGCUUUGCUUAAUAUUAACUAUGGGUCUGAAAAUAGGGGGUCUAGGCACUGUGGCCUGAUUAAACCCAGCUGAGUGCUUGUUUGCAUGAGCAUUAAAAGACAUAGAGUCUGGACUGAUUUGAGAAAUGGAUUGAACUUGUCUUUGUUUCUCAUCAUUAAGCACUAUGUUGUAAACACUGUCAACUCUGGGUCUGAAAAUAGGGGGUCUAGGCAUUGUGGCCUAAUUAAACCCAGCUGAGUGCUUGUUUGCAUGAGCAUUAAAAGACAUAGAGUCUGGACUGAUUUGAGAAAUGGAUUGAACUUGUCUCUGUUUCUCAUCAUUAAGCACUAUAUCGUAAACACUGUCAAGGGAAGGAAAUGGGUGCAUCAUCAACAGAUUACUCCUAACCCCCAUGUAUGCUUCAUUUAACCUCAUAAGAAACUGGAAUACCUUGUUUUCAUCAUUUUCCUCAAUUAUUCCAUUUUUAGCAGCACACACACAUCUCUGCCCAUGUUUGUGCACAUUGUGCCCAAUUCAACCCACAAGCCUUUGAGCUUGUUAAAGUAUGAGGCUACGUCUAAGCAGCCUUGAGAUGUGUGGGGUGCCCAAUUCAUCCCACAAGCGUUUGAGCUUGUUAAAGUAUGAGGCUACAUCUAAGGAGCCUUGAGAUGUGUGGGAAAGUUCCCUUUUUAAUUCAAAAUUUUGGGUCUUGUUAGGGGUACCAUAUCUUCUCUCAAUUUGGGACCAUAUACUCUGUGCAGUAUCGGAAUAUUGCACACUAUCAGCAAUCUGAGGAGACAAGGAGGAGGUCAACAAGGAAAUGACCAUUUUAUUACAUCUAUCCCACAGUCUCUGUUGAACCACAUUAGUGGUAGGUCGAGGACAUGAACCGUCAACAAAAUCGAUUUUGUUUUUAGCAGAUAAAGCAACAAUCAUCUUACGCCUCCAACCCCCAUGACCACAACCCGAGAAGGGAGUGGGAACAAGAGAGACCCUAGGGACAUCAGAGAAAUAUACAAAAAGGGGGCUAGUAGAGUCUACCAAGGAGGAGGAGGUACCAGCAUUCAUGUUAGAAGCCAUAAUCAAUAAACCGGCUUAAGAUAAAACAGUUUCAACAAGAAGAGUAUAACCAAGCCAGAUAUUCACACACAAAACCACAUACUCACAUACGGUGCCAGAUAAUCACACACAAAGCAUACAAUACUCAAGAUAAGGACAAAGUUACCCUCCUUCUUCGCGACCGGAGAAGAUCGGCCUUCAAUCAACAGAGAAAACCUAGGUACAAAACCCUAGGUGUAACCGUCGAAAUCUUUACUGGAAAUAUGGUCAGCGAUGUCGGAAAGUCACCCAAAACAUCCACUAAGUGAGGAUCGAGCCACCAGAUAGCAGUUAAACCCUAGGUUCAACCACCAGAAACCCUAGAAGCUGAUAAAUCAUCGAAAGAUCACCCAAAAAUUAUCGGAAAAUCUCCCACAACGUUCGAGUGAAGAAGAUAUAGUCAGAUAUCACGAUGAAAGUCUCAGAAAAACAUCCGAUUUAGAUCGGAAUCGUCAUCGACCACAUACGUCAGAAACACCCCCAAAAAUCUCAAAGGGAAAAAACAAUCGAUUUAGAUCGGAAUCAUCAUUGACCACAUUCGUCAAGAACACCCCCAAAAAUCUCAUAAGGAUACUUCAACCAAGACAACAAGAUGCAGAAAAACAUAAUCGGAUCAUCGUCUACGCUCUGAUACCAUGAAAACUUUGAGAUUAAACCGAAGAAUCACGGAAAAUAUAGUGAGAGAAUCUAGAGAGAAGGAGGAGCAGUUGAGAGAAGUUUCAGGAAGACAGAGAGUUUAUUAAUCAGAAAAGAGAGUAAAAUGAAAUCCGUAGCCAAAAUAUCUGAUAUAUGGCUAUAUAUACACCUAGCAUUGGGUCGGGUCAGACGGCCCAAUGACGAAAGUAAAAUGGGGCUCAGACACAU